CGGAGCCAAUGAAUUUUCUGUCGCGAGCCCAGCCAGCCGGCCCGCUAACGGGCUUGCCGCUUAGAGCUCUGGGAAAUGUAGUUAGGCACGAGCAAGCUGCCGUUACUUGGGAGUCUGCGGCGGGAACCGUGGCUCCGCAGGUGUUCGUGGCUCGGAUCAGCCUUCCUCGAGCUCCUGAGGUUCUACCAUUCCUCAUGGCCUCCAGUUCAGGAAGCUUCUGGAACACAGCUGCACCUCUACAAUAGAAACGAGAUCUGCAUCAUCAGCUUCAGAUGUGUUCUUAGAACCCUGCUGUCUGAAAGUUAAUCCUGUGAGGGGACCUCAAGCAGACCCUCUGGGGAAGUCUUGCAGCGCCCCUGUGGAAGAGCAUCCCCUGCAUGGUCUUCUACCUUCUGUUGGCCUCGGGAUCUCAUGGAAGGGAAACUAACUCCAAGCAGAAAAGAAGAGGGAAGAGCUCUGAAGGAGGCAAGAGCGACCCAGCUUCCAGACCAGACAAUAUCUGAAGGAGAGCCAUGUUUUGUCGUUUGCAUUCUCCACGGAGCCUUCGAGUGCGACACACUGAGAGAAGGGCCGGCCUUGGUAACCGCGUGUCACUACGGACUCUGGUGUCGGGAGAUGGCUCUAGCCAUUUGCCUCUGAAAGUUCUCCUUUUCCAGAUGGUUUUCACACAGGGCGGUAGGGGAUUUCUUAUUGCUACACUUUCCACUCUAGCCCUGAGCCUCGCCACCAGGCAGCCCAGCCAGAUUAGCUCAGAAAUCCAUAAAGGGGCAGGAGCCCCUGUUCCCUCACCUCUGCUCAAAGAUGUCACUGGUUAGAGUUGUGCUGGGACAUAGGAGUGACCUUGGGAAGGGGCACUUGGUGACUAAGCAAGAAUGGGCACUGCUGUGUCAACUCACCACACCCAGCUUGCAGGAGAGGCUGGCUCACGAACCACCCUCAGGGUGACCUCAGGUCUGCAGGCUCAGUUCCUGUAGCAGGAGAAACAGUAACCUGUCGGGGAAACAGUAACUUCCAAACUUAGUAGGCAGACAGUUUAUGAAGGUAACACAGAGACAUGAAGGAGGGACACUGAGUUGUCCCUGAGGGGGCCCCAGGCGAAGGUCACAUCCCUUCCUUUCCAAAUACAGCUGAGUUCUGGGUCCCACCAAGGAUAGAACCACCCCCUUCCUCAUCAGCUGUGAACAUUCCUUAAUGUCUCUAAAUCCCGAGUUCACCUAUGGCCACAGCCCCCUUUCAACCUUCUUUUAAAACAAGUAUGUUAAGGGAUGGAGACGUAGCUCAAUUGGUAAGGUGCUUACCUAGCAUGCGCAGAGGACCCCUGGCUCCCGUCUGCACAAACCAGACGUGGUGGUGCAUUCUUGUAAUCCCAGUACUUGGGAACAUGUUGGCAGGCCACAUUCGGAUCCGUUGUCUCCAGUGUUCUGUACCUUGGCCCUGGAAAAGUGUUGCUAGGAUGUGAUCUGUGCUGAGUCUCUAGAACAGCGCCUCCAGUUGGACCGAUAAUGACUGUCCCAAGCCACAUUCAACAAGAAAUAGCGCAAACAGGUAGAGGAGACAGAAGUGGAGAGGGGGUGGGCUCUUGAAGGAACCAAGGCCUGGGAUGAACGGUAAUCCUACAUCCAUUCUGCAGGGGGCACUAGGCUCCUGGGCACCUGGCACUCAGGGCAUUAGGCUAGAAAGCUGUAAACACUCCCCCUUGCUGUCCGCACACCUGUAAUCCCAGCAUUUAGGAGAUAGAGGUGAGGCAGGGCACUCAAGAGUUCAAAGUCAUCCUCGGCUACAAAGUGAGUUUGAGGAUAGCCUGGGCAUCAUAGUUGAGAUCCUUUCUCAAAACAAACAAACCAUCUAGACCCUAGGCUGCCUUUCUCCUUGCCCGACUUCCCUUUCUGAGGUUACAGCAGGGUUCCAGGCUGUCCCUUUGAGCCAGCUGUGUCUUCAUUGAGGUCCCUGACUGUCAUUCUGUCACCCCCCCACCCCCAUCUGUGUGACUCUCUUACAAGUACCUAACCCGGAAGUGCUCACGGUGACCUGUGGGUCCCUGGCGGUGUCUCAUUGAAUCUUCUCAACAAGCUUUGGAAUAAGUCUUCUGUGGCUUCCUGUUACAGCUGAGGGAAGUAGAUGUAGAGAGCUUGGCUCAGCUCACUCAGAUCCAUGCAACUCGAGUCGAGGAGCCAGGCCUCAAAUCUAGACCUUCCCCGCAACUGUGACCUCAAAAGUCCUAGUGUUGGGUUGCAGGAGUUUCACUUCCGUCUGCUGGGGUAAGCAGCCCGCUUUCUGGACUCUGUGGCCUUUUGAAGAUGGUACUGCUUCCACAAUCUCAUCUUCGGUCUGCCCAAACCUAUCUAAUGCUCUCCAGGAACAUAUGUGCCCAUGAGAGACAUGAGCUUCCUGCCAGCAGACACUAGCAUAUCUGCUGUGGGAAUUGAGGGGAUUCUUGAGUUAGGGCAGAUGCAGGAGCCUCUGGUUAUGCCAUCGACUCUGGCACUGCUAUGGCUGAUUUCUGCUCCACCACGUCUGGGACCCCCACUAGAUUGGCUGGAAAUAGUGGACAUGGUCCAAGUCGGGCUCUGUCUGGAGCCUCCGUUCUGUGUGCGAGCUGGGUUCCUCUUGUCCCUGUGAUGUUAUCCGGGGCUCAGAUGUCUGCAGUGGCACACAGGCCCCUUCUCUUGUGUGUCCACUCUCUUCAGAAAUGCAGCCUCAGCUUCUGCCAUCUGGGCAAUCCCAGCCCACACUAUCUAUAUUCUUUUCCAUUGCACUCUGCUUUCCCUAUUCUACUUCUAACCAGUGCUACCUAGAUGGCAGUGGACCGUCCGUGUACUACAAGAUUCUACCUCCGUAUGCGCUUACUAGUCUGUGGACCUGAAUCUAAUAUAGGCUGGCCAGGAACUUUUGAAGUCAUUUGAUUCAAAAAUGGAAGGAAAUGCAGUCAGGCUAGUUAGAUUCUCCUCCUGCCCCUGUCCCACUUUGAAGUCUGAACCUAAAUCAGACAGAUUGAUAGUAUGUAACAAGACGAUACUGGAGCUUUGAAUGUUCUGGGCAAAAUCACAAUGAAGGAGAAAGUUAUGAUACGGAGAAAAUCCACUUACUGUGGAAGAAGAGAAGAUAAACCUUUCUUUGGAACAGAGGAAAAGAAGAGAGUGCUUGGACUAAGCUUUCCUAUGGCCCUGGAGCUCAGGGGAGCCCAUCUUCGCAGUGAUGCAAUGUAGCACUGUCCCAAGCUUGUAUUUUUUUUUUUUUUUUUUUGCAUUUGCUAUUGAUUGACCCAGUGGUAGUCAUGUGAUUCAAUCCUGCUAAUACACUUAUGGAGAGAUGUUUGGGACCACCUUGAAUCCAUGAGCCCACAAGACCCAGGGGAGACAACCAACUGGGGAUGACAGGAUAGGGGAUAGGAGCCUAGGGUCCCUGGUGGCACCGCUGAGUCACAAUGUCUACACUGGAACCAUGGCCUUCCAGUCUGAUUGCUGUGUAAGCCUGCUGUCUCCUAGGUUCCAUCCUUCUCUUGGGGCCUGAAACAUUCCUAAGUUCUUCAUAAAGCGUCCCUGCCCUCACUGCUACCCUGUGGAUCUUUCUUUCGGCUUAAAAUGGAGAAAACAACCCAGGUUGCUUUUCUUUCUAAGUGUUGGUGCUCGAAAUCUUGCUUAGAUGAUAGGAAAUGGACAGGAGUCACAACAACAACAAAAAGGCAGGAUCCUUCACGGGCCAAAAGGACAACCCCAGUGAUUAGUCCCGACCCCCUCAGGCCCAGGGGGCCCAGACCAGGAAAGAUAAAUAAUUCUAGAAAUUUCCAUAUGCCCAGGUCUUCUCAGACAGAGCUGAGGAAUAACUUUUAGGAAAAAAAAAAAAAACAUUGGUGGGGGUUCAGUAGAGUGGAGUAUUAAUGCCCAAAGAGCGAGAAGCCAGGUUAGGCAGGAUGUCUAUCAAUUCUAAGACCGUGUCUCUACCUGGCUGCUGUGAACAAUGAAUUGGAGCAAUUUGUUGCAGCCCGAGCCAGUAGGUGCAAGGGGUGCUACUCAGGAGACAGCCUAGGCGUUGUUUGAAAAUGGUCCCCUUGGGAGGAGGCGGUGCUAACCCGUACCUGCUGCCUCCCUCUGCCCUCGGGGCGUGGCCUUCUUCCUUCCCUCCCCUCCCCUCCCCCCCCUUUUUUCUUCUACCUUUUGUUCAAGUGAAGGCAGGAGCCAGAGGCUCACACCACCAACCCGAGUUCCUUUCAUGCAGCUAAGCAUUGGGGAGGGGGGGUGGACAAGGAGACUGGCGGUGGGACUCAGCUGGCAGAGCGCUUGCAGGCACCACACACACACACACACACACACACACACACUUAGAUCCCCAGUACCCCAUAGGAGUGGUGGCGCCUGCGCAUGCGUGUAAUCCAUCCUACCCUUGGGAAGUGGAGGCUGGAGGAUAAAUCCAAGAUCAUUGGAGCAGCUGAACUCAAGGCUUUGCUCCUUCCGCUUGGAAACAGUUUUCUAAAUUAAAAAAAAAAAAAAAUUAUCCAGGCUUCUCCUGGUGCCUGAAGUGAGGCUGACAAAUGCUCAUUACCCCAUUAUAAGCAAACUAGAGAAAGCUGCCCUCCCUCUGCUGUGUCUCAGAAUAACACGGGACCCAGCCACAGAUGUGUUAAGUCACUGAGAAGCGGUGACGCAGGUUCUGACAGCAGCCCUCAGUGCAAUACCUUGUGUGCCCCACAUGGUACAUGGCUAACGCUAGGGCUAAUAGCUCCCUAGCAAAGCGAGUCUCAGCUUGUAAAGAGAAUGAGGGAGAUGUGCCUCCCGAGAGAAAAAAAAUCAUGGUGAUGAAAUAUGGGCUUGGGGGCAAAAAGAAAACGUUUAAAUGUGUACCUAGUUAAAGAAUGACAUCCCCACCCCACCAUCACCAGACUUUGUAUGUAAGGUGCGGUAGAUUGAGCUCUGGACCUCACACAUUCUGGAAAGGGCUCUUCCACUGAGCCACGCCCCCAGCCCUUCCAUAGGGGACUCUAGGCAGGGGCUCUACUGCUGAGACGCAUCCCCAGCUCUCUAGAUUGACUUGAUUUUGAGACUAGGUCUUACUGAAUUGCCUCGGUUGGCCUGAAUCUCACUCUGUAGCCCAGACUGGCCUUGGACUCACAUUCUUCCUCCUGCUUAGCCUGCUGAGCCAUUGGGAUCAUAGACUUGUCCCACUCACUGUACCAAGUACCAUUGUGCUACUGCUACAGCUAAUACCUUUAAACCAGUCUUCCCCAACCCCAGAAAACCUCCCUAUAGAGAUCUUAGCUCAGUAUUCUCUUAAAUCCAAUGAAGAGAACAGCAGCUUUUCCCUGUUCCUCCACACGAGGGCGCUACACCACUCAGCCAUGGGGUGAUGUAGUCAAGCCUCUCCCACAACCUUUAUGGGUGCAUUUCUUUUCUGUGUGUUCUCUGAUGAGAAGCACUGGGCCACCUCUGCGUGGUUUUUCUUGCCAGUUUCUCUUGUAGCUCUCUCUCUCCGAGCAAACAUUCAGCUCACCCCGGACUUGUGCAUUGCUAUGGCCGUCCCUUGUAACUAAUUCAGGGGCCAGAUGACUUAGCUGAUCCCUUCUGAAAUGAAUGAACUGAGACUGUCGGUAGGUUAGCAUUCUGACCAAAGGUUCUUGGAGGCGCUUGGGAAAGGGAUUCAUUGACAUACCUUUGCGAGCAUAGGGCUUUUCUCCAGUGUGAAUUCUCUGACGUUGAAUGAGUUUCGUGGUCUUGAAAGCCCUCAAGGGGUCACUGUUGUUGGUAGAUUUCUGUUGUAAGGGAAGUAGCCAGGGUGCAUGGGAUGCUAGCUGACUCCUCCCACGCCCUCUGGGAUGUUGCAGCAGUGUUAAAAGCAGGCGGGGAGCCUCUAGGAAACUGGCUUGUAUUCAUAAUAGUCGAUGUUCCUGCUGGUACAAGUGCUACAAUGUUAAAUAAACUUGAUCCGGACUCAGCCACA
This is a long non-coding RNA of Apodemus sylvaticus (European woodmouse), 5931 nucleotides long. RefSeq lists it as uncharacterized. Lineage: Eukaryota; Metazoa; Chordata; Mammalia; Rodentia; Muridae. The transcript is spliced from 4 exons. The record is from RefSeq and is a predicted model, not a curated record.